UCAGUACGAGACCGAAAUUUUUUCAA
RNAcentral lists this non-coding RNA (26 nucleotides) under Drosophila melanogaster (fruit fly). The record is from RNAcentral. Lineage: Eukaryota; Metazoa; Arthropoda; Insecta; Diptera; Drosophilidae.